Molecule: long non-coding RNA, 208 nt
Organism: Haemorhous mexicanus (house finch)
Lineage: Eukaryota; Metazoa; Chordata; Aves; Passeriformes; Fringillidae
Exons: 2
Source: RefSeq, a predicted model, not a curated record
AUCAUCUAGAGCAGUCUCCUGUUGGUACCAAGUGACUAGCAACAAUGAAGAAGAGAUGAAGAGCUGCCAGUGUCCUGAGAGGACAGAAAAAGGAGAAUCCAGGAGCCCAACACCUUGGACGGGGCUCAGGCAGAGAAUCUGUGUCACACGAAAGGAGAGGAAUGGAAACAGCGGGAAACCAUCGGCAACAAAGGAAGGCGAACAAAAA